UGGGGAAAUCAAGGGUAAGCCCUAACGAGAAUAACAGAGUUGAUAUUAACGAUCGAGAAGACUUUCAAUAUUUGAAAGAUAUGAAAGUCCCUCCACAAUGGGAGCUGUGGAUGGAGCAAAGCUGGUACGACGUCGAACUUAAUUCAGACUUCCCUAGGUAUAGCAUAGCACUUGUCUUUGAUCUUUCAAUUUUUUCCAUUUAACCUCAAAAAUUUGUGGCUAAGUUAUUGUCACUUUCUAUCUAUAGGCAUGCGACCAUUGGUGGAUGAGAUUCGAUGGAAUGCCAUAAGAAAGAGGCCCACUAUUGAUGCGGAUCCAUCUCAAGGUCCGAAAAAAGACCCGACCCGAUGCUCCUUC
Molecule: long non-coding RNA, 357 nt
Filed under: Elaeis guineensis (African oil palm)
Lineage: Eukaryota; Viridiplantae; Streptophyta; Magnoliopsida; Arecales; Arecaceae
Description: long non-coding RNA (EGUI_LNC013475)
Source: RNAcentral